AUCAAUAAACCUCGCUUAAACCUCGUCCGUCCGGUCGUUCCGACGACCGAUGCUGCUCCCGCACCGGAGACCCAGCCACCGUCUUCUCCGGCAGCAGCCGCCCCCGCCCCCGCCCCCAUCCCAAACGCCGCCGCCGCCGCCCCGACGGCUCGGCCCUCCCGCGGAGGCUCCGCCACCACCUCGCCGCCGGGCCCCUCCCCUCGACCCGUCGGCCUACGCGGGCCUCCUCCGGGCCGCGUCGAGGGGGCGGUCGCUGCCGCUGGCCAGGCUGAUCCACUCCCACAUGCUCCGCGCCGGCUUCCACCCGGGCCUCUUCCUCCGCAACAACCACCUCGCCGCCUACUGCCGCGCCGGCGACAUGCGCCAUGCCCGCCUCCUGUUCGACGGAAUGCCGCACCGGGACGCCGUGUCCUGGAACACCCUCAUCGCCGGCUACUCCAGCCAGGGCGGGUCCGGCGCGCGCCUCGCGCUCGCCGCCUUCCGUGACGCGCGGGGCGGCGGCGUCCGGGCAGACAGGUUCACCUACGCCGCGGUGCUGGCGGCGUGCGGCAGGGCCGGGGACUGGAGGCAUGGCCGGGCGGCGCACGGGCUGGCCGUGGUGAGUGGGCUUGCGCAGGACGUGUUCCUGACCAACUCCACCAUUGACAUGUAUGCCAAGUGCGGGAUGAUUGACGAGGUGAGGCUGGUGUUCGACCGGGCUGAGGAGCGGGACGAGGCGUCGUGGAACCUGCUGCUGUCGGCGUACGUGCGCAUGGGGUGGCCGGAGGUCGCCGUGCACGUGCUCGUCUGGAUGCACCGGUCAGGGGUGAAGCUGGAUAGCUUUGCCUUGGGUGGGAUCCUCAAGGCUUGCUCCGAGCUCCAGGGCUCCGAGGAUGUCCGGAGGAUGCUGCACGGGUGUGUUGUUAAGGUUGGUUUGGACUUGGAUAUGUUUGUCGGGAGUGCCAUGGUGGACAUGUAUGCUAAGAACGGUGGACUUGAGGAGGCGAUCAAGGUGUUUGACUGCAUCCCGAAUCAGAAUGCGGUGGUUUACGGUGCCAUGAUCGCAGGGUUCGCUCGCUUAGGUAAUGACCCUUGCCCUGAGGUUAGGAUCGAAGCUGUCAGGCUUUUCUCGGAAUUGCUCCGGAUGGGUGUAAAACCGUCCAGGUUUACUUUCAAGAGUGUGCUCGAAGUCUGCAAUUUGACCAAUGCGGUGCACUGUGGGAGGCUGAUACACGCUCAUGUUAUAUUCAAUGGGUUUCAGGACGACGAGUUCAUAGCAAAUGCGCUGAUCAACUUGUACUCCCAAGCACGGUCAGUAAGUGACAGUCUGAGAUGCUUCCAGAUGACUCCCAGGCAAGAUGUCGUCACAUGGACAUCCAUGAUUACAGCAUUCGCGCAUGAUGAGAAUUUUGACAAGGCACUAGGCCUGUUCCUAGAGUUUCUUUCUGUUGGAAAAGAGCCAGACCAGUUCACUUUAUCGAGUGUGAUGACUGCCUGUGCUGCUCUGAGUCUACCAGCAACCUGUAAGCAGAUACACUGUUAUACGGUCAAAUCUGGACUCGGUCAGUUCACUGUGUGCGGCAAUUCUCAGAUUUCUAUGUAUAGGAAUAUAGGUGAUGUUGAAGCUUCAAAGAAGACAUUCGAGCAGAUUACAUGUCUGGAUAUAUUCUCAUGGUCUGCAAUGGUUUUGAGCUACGCAGUCCAUGGCCAUGAAGGCGAGGCUCUAGUGCUCCUGGAGAAGAUGAAGGAUUGUGGUGUCGUGAUAAAUGAUAUUGCUUUUCUUGCCGUUCUCAUUGCUUGCAGCCAGCAGGGGCUGGCAGACGAAGGUUUCAGGCACUAUGAGAGCAUGGUAUCAGAUUAUGGCUGUUCACCAAAUACGAAGCACAAAGCUUGCGUGGUUGACCUCCUUGGCCGUGUUGGUAAGAUGUCUGAGGCUGAAGAUUUCAUAAUGGGGUCUGGAUCAGAAAAUGACCCAAUACUUUGGCAUGCACUGUUGCGUGCAUGCAGAAUCCAUGGAGACAAAGAGAGGGGUAUAAAAACCGGAGAGAAAUUAAUGGAACUCGAGCCCUUUGCUGUUACUUCAUAUGUGGUGCUGUACAACCUCUACAUGGAUGCAGGCAAAAUCUCAUUGGCUAUGAAGACGAGAGGCCUAAUGAGAGAGCGAGGCAUGAGUAAGGAAGCCGGGAUUAGUUGGGCCGAGUUUGGGGGAUCCAUCCAUCAUUUUACUGACGGAAAUAACUCCUGCCCACACAAUAAUGCAAUUCACGCCAGAUUAGAAGAAUUGUUGGUCAGUGUGAAACAGAAGACCGAGCGUGGUGGAACGGACAUUUGGGAAUUAGGAUUCCAGAGCAGAAAGGAUGGCGAGAUCUCACUCGCCAGACAUGGUGAACUACUGGGUGUGGCUCUUGGGCUGUGCACUUUGCCAUCUGCUGCUCCUGUAACAGUCAUGAAGAACCAGAGGAUAUCCUGGGAAAGCCAUGAAACACUGAAGUUGCUAUCAGCAAGGGAAAACAGGGGAAUAAUCGUCAGAGAUCCGACUCAUUUUCAUCGUUUUGAUCAAGGUUCGUGCUCUUGCAGAGACUACUGGUAGACAUAAGUGAUAUAUAACCUUGGGAGUACAAACCUUAGAAGGGUCAGCGGAGGAAACUGGUGUAUAACCUUGGGAGUAUAACCUUGGCCAUUCUUGCAGCUGAGGUUGAAACUGGUGUCUGGCAGUUGGGAUCGGAGGAAUGAGAGGAUUACAGUAAAGUGUACAGUGGCAUUCCACUUAACAAAAGCUGUGCCAUUCCACUGAACAGAAGCUGUGAACAUGUAGCAUACGAUUGCGCUUGAUGAUGUCCAACUCCAGCCACGCAUCACUUUGCGAUUAAGCGUCACACGUCUCGAGCUGUUCAUCUCUGCUGAAACCGUGGGAUUGCUGGAGAUGUGAAGGCAGAGCUGCUUCCCUGCAUCUCAGCUAGAACUGUGGCUCAAUCGUAUACACUUGGGGCAUUUUGUGGGCAAAAUGUGCUGACCUGAACAGCCGGCAGCUGCUGUUUUUGCGCCAUGGUCGAAUCUGAUGCCCAUCUGCAGCACGUACUCUGUAGUCACACUGCUGUAGAAGCUGUGGUCAGAAGUGUUAAUAUUGAGAAGUUCCUGAUGGGGAGAAAAGCUCCUUGCGAAACGAAUGAGGUGCUACACUCUCACCAAGAUGAAAGAAUUCGCUGGGAUUUUUUUUGCACAGGCUGACGUAGGUUACAGCCGGUACCCUGGAGGAAGGAACAGCAGCCGCCGCACCGUAAACCCGCCUCGCAGCCUGCGACAGAAACACGUGCAGAAAUCAAGAAGACUGGAGAACAUAAUCUUAUGGCUGCCAGCCCCAAAAUCACUCUGAAAGAAACACCGGAGGACAGUGCGUUGCGGUUUCAGGCAGCAUUGGUAAGCCAUCAGGUGCAUAUUAUCAAAGGAAACGAAAGCCUGAUAAAAUUGGACGAACAAGGCGAAAUUCAUGCUUGCUGGAGAUAAUAAGGAAGAAGUACCUACCCUGGUGAGGGCGAGGCGGCAGGCCAUGUUGCUGCCGAUUUUGGGCCUGGUUUCCGCUGCCUCGUGUACUUGUGGUGAAUCUCUAGGCUAUAUUUAUAUGGCCCGAUCACAUAAUGUGGCGUGUGUCUAUCCGUGCAGUCCGGCUCUACCACGCAGACCUGCAGGAGCCGUGCAGGCAAAGGAGACACGGACCAUCGAUC
Molecule: RNA transcript, 3701 nt
Organism: Aegilops tauschii subsp. strangulata
Lineage: Eukaryota; Viridiplantae; Streptophyta; Magnoliopsida; Poales; Poaceae
Gene name: pentatricopeptide repeat-containing protein At3g13880
Source: RefSeq, a predicted model, not a curated record